AAGUAUGUGGUGCAGUAGUUUGAGCAUCACACUGUGACUCUGGAGACCAGAGUUCAAAUCCCUGCUUGGCUA
This is a non-coding RNA of Phrynosoma platyrhinos (Desert horned lizard), 72 nucleotides long. NCBI's taxonomy places the organism in Eukaryota, Metazoa, Chordata, Lepidosauria, Squamata, Phrynosomatidae. The record is from the annotation of a GenBank genome assembly.